RNAcentral lists this long non-coding RNA (513 nucleotides) under Ananas comosus (pineapple). Its description in RNAcentral is "long non-coding RNA (ACOM_LNC035473)". The record is from RNAcentral. Lineage: Eukaryota; Viridiplantae; Streptophyta; Magnoliopsida; Poales; Bromeliaceae.
UGCAUUUUCUUCAGUUUAUUAUGAGUAUUGAAAUUAUAUUUGUAUUUGUUAAAUCUUAGAUUUUUUUUUUUUUUUUUAAGAGAUAGGUAGCAUGCUACCCGUUUCGUUUAUUUCAUUUAGAAAUAAACUUAGCUAGAAAUGUGAAUCAACUAGGAUUGGAACUUGGGUCUCGGGUAUCAACCACCAAGCCCUUUGCCACUUGCUCUAGGGACGGUCGGUGUUAAAUCUUAGAUAUUAUUCAAUAAAAUAUAGGUAUAUAAAAAUUUGAACAGGAAUGUGAAAUUUUAAUUAUAUUAUUGUUAAUUCUAGUUCAUAUUCAUAUGCGUAUAUUAGAAUAUAUUAUUAUCCAAAUAAUAUUUCAUAUUCAUAUGCGUAUAUUAGAAUAUAUUAUUAUCCAAAUAAUAUUCAAAUACAAAUCAGAUCCAUAUCUGAAUCCGAAAAAAUAUUCAAUUAUAUUCUAAUUCGUUUUUAGUAGAUAUGGUAAUAAAAUUUUAACAUUAUAGAUAUGGUAAU